RNAcentral lists this transfer RNA (91 nucleotides) under Candidatus Margulisiibacteriota bacterium. RNAcentral describes it as "tRNA-Ser". It matches the Rfam family "tRNA". From Rfam's summary of the family: Transfer RNA (tRNA) molecules are approximately 80 nucleotides in length. Lineage: Bacteria; Bacillati; Candidatus Margulisiibacteriota. The record is from RNAcentral.
GGAGAGGUACCCAAGUGGCUCAAGGGGACGGUUUGCUAAACCGUUAGUGUUCGUAAGGGCAGCGAGGGUUCGAAUCCCUCCCUCUCCGCCA